Monodelphis domestica (gray short-tailed opossum) is the source of this 2238-nucleotide long non-coding RNA. NCBI's taxonomy places the organism in Eukaryota, Metazoa, Chordata, Mammalia, Didelphimorphia, Didelphidae. The record is from Ensembl.
AUGCUUAUUAUUCUUUCUCCCUCCUUCCCUCUCUCUCUCUCUGUCUCUCUGUCUGUCUCUGUCUCUCUGUCUCUCUCUCUGUCUCUCUCUCUCUCUCUCUCUCUCUCUCUCUCGCUCUGUCUCUGUCUCUCUCUGUCUCUACUGUCUCUUGUCUCUGUCUCUGUCUCCCUCUGUCUCUCUCUCCCCCUCCUCUCUCUCUCUCUCUGUCUCUCUAUGUCUCUCUCUGUCUCUGUCUCUCUCUCUCUCUGUCUCUCUCCCUCCUCUCUCUGUCUCUCUCUGUCUCUGUCUCUCUGUCUCUCUCUCCCUCCUCUCUCUCUUCUCUCUCUCUCUCUGUCUCUCUCUCUGUCUCUGUCUGUCUGUGUCUGUCUCUCUCUGUCUGUCUCUCUCUGUCUCUCCCUCCACCCCACCUCUCUCUCACCCCCUCAUCUCUCUUUCUUCCUCUAUCACUAGCACCUAUUCUCUUCCAUUCCAAUAUACUCUCUCAAAUGUAAUAAGCGUUGCUCAGGAAAACGAAUCCACAUGUUACUGAUGUCUCAUUCUGCACUCCUAACCCAUCACCUCUGUGAGGAAGGGUGAAAAUAUUUCCUCAGUAGUCCUCUGGAGUCAUGUUUGGUCAUUGUUAGAAUUGAUAAAAUUUUCAAAGUUGUUUUUCUUUACAAUUUACUGUAUAAAUUGUCUUACUAGUUCUGUUCACUUCAUUCACAUGUUUCCCUGAAAGAAUUCUAAUAUAAUUUUUUGAUGGAAGAGUCUAUUACAAUUCUAUAACACAACUUUGUAGCCUACUCCCCAUUGAGGAGAAUAGUACUAAUUUCUAGUUUCUUACUACAACAAAAAGCAUCGCUAGGAAAGCUUUUGUACAUAUGAAUCUUUUCCUUUUUUUUAAAUCUUUUUGGAGUAUAAGCCAGGUAGUGCUAUAAGUGGAUAUUAAAAAGUAACUGAUUUGGCUGGGAGGAAUAUAAUUUGAAAUUGCUUUUCAAAAGUUUUUUUACUCAUCCAAUACUCCACCAACAAUAAUUUAGUGAGCUUGUACUUCCUUAGCCAAUCCAAAACCCGUCAUUUCCCCUUUUUUGAACAUUUUUGCCAAUGAUAUGGGUAUGAAAUAGAACAUCAGGGUUGUUUUAACACAUUUUUCUUAUUAUUAGUGAUUUGGAGCAUGUUUUCAUAUGGCUUUUUUCUGUUUUUUUUCGAGAACUGCCUGUCCAUAAGAAUGUUUUAACUUUUAGGAAAUACAUUUUGUUCACAUGUUUUUGAGUCAGUUCUGUAUAUUUCUUGGCUAUCAUAAACUUGCUUCCAAGAUUUUUUCCCAACUAACUUCCCCUCUAAUUUUAACUACUUCAAUUUUGCUUGUUCAAAAGGUUUUCAAUUUUGUCAUUUAAAUAGUCCGUUUUAUCUUCUAAAUAUUCUACCUAUAUUCUUACCUACAUAUCUACCUGUCUAUGUCUGCCUGUGUAGCAAAACACAAAGCAAUUACAUAAAUACAAAUGAGUAGAUAAAAUCCCAAAUAUUAUAUACACUCUAUAUUUAUUUUUAAUGAGAAUUUAUGUCUUUCCCACUGUGUUUUGUUAGGAAUAUUCAGAAAAGGUGAUGAUUUAUGUGGACUUAUUUUAAAACCUGCUACUUUGCUAUGGAUAUCGUUUCAAACAACUUUCAGUGAAUCCCUCGGGUUCUCUAAAUCAUCGUAACAUCUUUGUUAAAAAAUGAUAUUUUUUUUUUGUCUUCUGAUUAUCCUUAAAACUUUUUUUUUCUCUAACAAGCAUUUCUAGAGCUGUAUUACACUCUAGAUGAUAAUAUAUGGCCGGGCGUGACCUCUGAUUUUUUUGCAAAGACCUCUAAUAUUCUUCCAUCAUAUAUCAUGCUGAGCUUGGUUUACACAGAUAUUAUUUACUGUAUUAAGAAAAGAUCUAUUUAUUCCUUUGCUUUAAAAUUUCUUUAACAAAAUGGGUUUUGUUAAAGCGUUUUUCUGUAUUAAUAUAAUUGUAUAGUUGUUAUUCUUCAUAGUCUCACAGUGGUCUAUUAUGUAUUGGACCAACUUUGUAUUCCUGGUAUGAAUCCAAGUGGGUUAUAGUAUGUGAUUUUUUUAAUAUGUUGCUUUAGUGUCUUUGCUAAUAUUUUAUUUGAAAUGUUAAUGUUGAUGUUUAUUAAGGAUAUUGGUAUACAUUUUUUCUAUUGCUUCCUGAUUUAGGAAUCAAAAUUUAUUUGUACAAUAAACGGUAUUCUUUUUUAUUUUUGUAUGUAGUU